RNAcentral lists this ribosomal RNA (253 nucleotides) under uncultured bacterium. RNAcentral's name for it is "partial 16S ribosomal RNA". It matches the Rfam family "Bacterial small subunit ribosomal RNA", at positions 524 to 776 of the family's 1533-position model. The record is from RNAcentral.
UACGUAGGUGGCAAGCGUUAUCCGGAUUUAUUGGGCGUAAAGGGAACGCAGGCGGUCUUUUAAGUCUGAUGUGAAAGCCUUCGGCUUAACCGGAGUAGUGCAUUGGAAACUGGGAGACUUGAGUGCAGAAGAGGAGAGUAGAACUCCAUGUGUAGCGGUGAAAUGCGUAGAUAUAUGGAAGAACACCAGUGGCGAAGGCGGCUCUCUGGUCUGUAACUGACGCUGAGGUUCGAAAGCGUGGGUAGCAAACAGG